Molecule: ribosomal RNA, 615 nt
Filed under: uncultured bacterium
Lineage: Bacteria
Description: bacterial SSU rRNA
Rfam family: Bacterial small subunit ribosomal RNA
Source: RNAcentral
GGUAACAUUUCUAGCUUGCUAGAAGAUGACGAGUGGCGGACGGGUGAGUAAUACUUAGGAAUAUGCCUUUGUGUGGGGGAUAACUAUUGGAAACGAUAGCUAAUACCGCAUAACGUCUUCGGACCAAAGGGGGCUUCGGCUCCCGCGCAAAGAGUAGCCUAAGCGAGAUUAGCUUGUUGGUGAGGUAAAGGCUCACCAAGGCGACGAUCUCUAGCUGUUCUGAGAGGAAGAUCAGCCACACUGGGACUGAGACACGGCCCAGACUCCUACGGGAGGCAGCAGUGGGGAAUAUUGCACAAUGGGGGCAACCCUGAUGCAGCCAUGCCGCGUGUGUGAAGAAGGCCUUCGGGUUGUAAAGCACUUUCAGUUGUGAGGAAAGGUUGGUGGUUAAUACCCAUCAGCUGUGACGUUAGCAACAGAAGAAGCACCGGCUAACUCCGUGCCAGCAGCCGCGGUAAUACGGAGGGUGCGAGCGUUAAUCGGAAUUACUGGGCGUAAAGCGCACGCAGGCGGUUAUAUAAGCUAGAUGUGAAAGCCCCGGGCUCAACCUGGGAAUAGCAUUUAGAACUGUAUGACUAGAGUCUUGGAGAGGGGGGUGGAAUUCCAGGUGUAGCG